CAGCACUUUUUGUGCUGACAUGAAUUAUCAUUGAUAUGGUUAUAUUUAUAAAUUUAUUGUUUACAAAUUUUUGAAUUUUUUGAAAUACUAAGGCUUUUCUACCUCAGGCAUGGAUUACCUGAGCUGUAUUCGGCAAAACUUUUAGUAAUUUUGGUUCUCAAUGCACUUCAAAUUCGUACUUUAUUUGGUCUUUUUAACUUUUUUGGAUUCGAGCGUCACUGAUGAGUUUUUUGUAGACGAAACGCGCGUCGGCGUAUAGACUAAAUCUAGUCCUGGUAUCUAUGAUGAGUUUAUUCAUAAUAUUUUGUUUAUUCUACAUUGGCAAGAGUUAUGAGGGGGGAUGUAGAGAUUUCAUAGAACAUGUUUUACCCAUCAUCAUGUUUGCGCCUAUCUCAAGCCAAGAGAUUCUGACCUUUGUCAACUUGUAUGAUUUUUUUUCUUUAGUUCUUUUAUAUAAUUGGAGUUUAGUGUGACGUCAAUUUUCACUGAACUAGUACACAUUAUUAAGGAUUCAGCUGACACCCGCCUCCGGUUAUGGAAUUCCCCCCCUGUGUUGAAGACUCAUAGGUGGCUUUUGUCUGUUUUUGGCUCUUAAGUCGGGUUGUUGUCUCUUUGACACAUUCCCCAUUUCUUUUUUCAAUUUUUAUUUAUCAUUUAAAUCUCCAAUGAAAAGCCCCUUGUACACUUAUAGAUCUAUGUUAAAAAAGUUACAUUAUCAUCAUAAAGUUUACACGUAAUUAUAUUGAUAAAGAUCUGCACACAAGAAAGUAUCUGUUUUACAGAACAAAGUUUAUAUCUAUGUUAUCGAUAUUAAAAUACCCAUUAUAAAUAAAAAAUGUACAUCAUACAAAGAAAAAACAAUAAUAUACUCUCAUAAAUUGAAACUACAUACACAAAUAAUGAAAGUAUACAUAACAUAACUAGAGGCUCUAAAGAACCUGUGUCGCUAACCUUGGUCUAUAUGCAUAAUCAGCAAAGGAUCCUCUCCAACAUUGCAGACGAGAAAGACUUCAUGACAAAAAUCCUUAUUAUGUUGACCUUGUGUUGCUGAUAAUUUUAUCCGUUUAGUUUCUCUCUACCUCCUUUAGUUUUGCUCAAGAUUCAAGAGAGGGUACAACAUCAAUCCUUAAUUAAGGGCAAUUACUCCAAUAAAGAGUGGCAGUCUACUAACUAUAUCGGCAAAAUUUGACUUGUUAGUAGAUCUUGUUUUGUUAAUCAUUUUGCUUAUGUAUGUUUUUAUCUAUCUAUUAUAAUUUGUAUCAUAUAAGGCACAACACAUAAACAAUUGGCAAAAUUCGUCAACAAAGGGCAAUAACUACAAUAAGAAGUCACUGAACGAUUUGCACCAUAUUGUACAAUGUAUUAAUUCAUUAUUGUACAUCUUGUCUGAUUAUUUUUUUCUAUUUAAACUUCUAUCUAUCAAUUAUAAUUUUUAAGAUCAAAGGCAAAACGCAAACAUUUGAUAUAACAUUGACAUCAAAGGGCCAUAACUCUUAUAAGGAGUCUACUGACAAUUUCAACCAUUAUGCUUAUUUGUAGCACAAGUCUACCUUGAUCAUUUUUGAAUUUAAAGCUUCUCUCUAUCUGUUACAGUUACAGAUAAAACGCAAAUAGGGCAAUAUCUCCUAUAAGAAAUCGUCUGACAGUUUUGACGUAUAAGACAAUAGGUAGAACUCAACAUUCUGAACAUUGCUGGCUUUGUCAAAUUUAAUAUAUUGAUAACGGUUUUCAAAAUAAUAUAGACUUGAAUUUUACCUCAUAUGUUCGUUUUGAGCCAUGUCGGCUAUCUUGGUUGGCGGGCGAGAUCACAGAACACAUUUUUUAAAAACUAGAUACAUCAUUGAUGAUUAUGGUAAAGUUGGUUAAAGUAAUUUCAGAAGAAAAGAUUUUUGUAAUAUUUCACAGACUAAAACAGGACGACGGAAACAAAGUGAUGAGAACAGCUCAUCUUCACAAUAUAAUAACACAAGUAUAUCAUGUUAGAAAUUAUCAACAUUUUAUAGCAAAGUAACAAUAUAUUAAUAUUGUUUGAUUUUUGUUUGGUUAAUGUUCAAUGGUCAUAUAAUAGAAGAAAGCAACUUCAUACAUACAAUGCGGUAACUACAUAACAUUGUAAAGGAACAACAUAAUACAUGUACUGUGUUUAAAGAAUACAUAAGUUUAUAAUAUGAAGGAACUAAAUACUGUAAUGAGCCUUUGACGUUCACCUAGGUCUAUGCAUCUUUAACAAUGGACACUUUCCAACAGUGCAGAUUAGAAUAUAAUUAUAAAGUGUAAAAGUCGUAAUUUUAAGGCCAUAACUUCUAUAAAAAGACAACAACAAAUUUCAAGUAUGCUGACCUUUAUGCACAUAUUGUUUUGCUUGUCAUGUUUGUUUUUUAAAGAUUUUAUCUAUCUUUAAUAGUUUUCAAGAUGAUAGGCAAACACUCAGAAAUUGGUAAAAAUGUUAACAAGUGCAACAGCUCAAAUAAGGAGUCUACUGACGAUUUCGACCAUGUUGCCUUAUUUGUGUUGCUUGUUAUCUAUGUUAUUGAAAAAGUCUAUCUAUCAUAAAUCACAAAAUAUUUGUCAUAAAUGGAAAAAAAACUUUAUUUGUCAAAAGCUCUAAUAAAUGAUAUACCAUUCUUGUUUUGACUGGCAAAACUACAAAGACCCCCAGUAGAAUAAUUUGUCACGUUUUGAUAGUAUAGAUAGAAUUAAUUGUAUGACAAAACCAGUGAAACUUUUGUCACGAGUAUACAAAUAUAUUAAUAUAUUAAAAAUUUUAAUCGAUUUGUUAAAUAUUGUUUUUUUCUUUUUUUUUUCUCGUCUCCGUUGAAUUUAUGUCAGUCAUAUUGAAAUUAAUCUAUUCUUCUAAUUUUAGAUCUUGAACUCCCUAACGCGUAUCUCAAAUUUAAUUUUUGCUAUAUGUGUUUUGCUUGAACACGUAUAAAUGCAACUUAUUAAAAAAAAACUACACUGUCAAAUAUGUUUGCUAGGCAAUCGGAAUAAGACGUAUUGUAUUUAUUAAUUCAUAC
Molecule: long non-coding RNA, 3017 nt
Filed under: Mytilus galloprovincialis (Mediterranean mussel)
Lineage: Eukaryota; Metazoa; Mollusca; Bivalvia; Mytilida; Mytilidae
Source: RNAcentral